Molecule: transfer RNA, 77 nt
Filed under: Sphingomonas sp. Leaf412
Lineage: Bacteria; Pseudomonadati; Pseudomonadota; Alphaproteobacteria; Sphingomonadales; Sphingomonadaceae
Also listed under: 1 other name
Description: tRNA-Trp
Rfam family: tRNA
About the family: Transfer RNA (tRNA) molecules are approximately 80 nucleotides in length.
Source: RNAcentral
AGGAGUGUAGCUCAGCUGGUUAGAGCAUCGGUCUCCAAAACCGAGGGUCGUGGGUUCGAAUCCCUCCACUCCUGCCA